RNAcentral lists this ribosomal RNA (253 nucleotides) under uncultured archaeon. RNAcentral describes it as "partial 16S ribosomal RNA". It matches the Rfam family "Archaeal small subunit ribosomal RNA", at positions 474 to 726 of the family's 1478-position model. The record is from RNAcentral.
UCCCAGCAGUCCAAGUCGCAGCCACAUUUGUUGGGUCUAAAACAUCCGUAGCUUGCCUCGUAAGUCUCUUGUCAAAUCGGGCCUCUUAAGGGUCCGGCGAGCAAGAGAUACUGCAAGGCUAGAGACCGGGAGACGUAAGGAGUACUAUAGGAGUAGCGGUAAAAUGCGUUGAUCCUUAUAGGACUAACAAUAGCGAAGGCACCUUACGAUAACGGUUCUGACAGUGAGGGAUGAAGGCUAGGGGCGCAAAGUG